CCAAUAGCGUAUAUUAAAGUUGUUGCAGUUAAAAAGCUAACGCUUGAAUACAUUAGCAUGGAAUAAUGAAAUAGGACGUUAAUCCUAUUUUGUUGGUUUCUAGGAUCGACGUAAUGAUUAAUAAGGAUAGUUAGGGGCAUUAGUAUUCAAUUGUCAGAGGUGAAAUUCUUGGAUUUAUUGAAGACUAACUACUGCGAAAGCAUUUGCCAAGGAUGUUUUCAUUAAUCAAGAACGAAAGUUAGGGGAUCGAAGACGAUCAGAUACCGUCGUAGUCUUAACCAUAAACUAUGCCGACUAGGGAUCGGAUGAUGUUAACUCUUUAAUGACUCAUUCGGCGCCUUACGGGAAACAAUCGAAUUCCCGCGGCCGUGAUUUUGGAGGGCAAGUCUGGUGCCCGGAACCAGUCGGACGGGAAUGACCGCACGGUUGCGUUCCAGUGGCUUCGUUGUGCGGGUGGCAUGCUCUUCGGCGCCUUACGGGAA
Molecule: ribosomal RNA, 482 nt
Filed under: uncultured Glomeromycotina
Lineage: Eukaryota; Fungi; Glomeromycota
Description: SSU rRNA
Rfam family: Eukaryotic small subunit ribosomal RNA (bases 1-367)
Source: RNAcentral